AGGCCGUGUGCGAUUUGUGGUGGCCUAGUGUUUGCGCGGUGCAUAUAUCGUUUGGCAUAUAUUAUUGACGAAGUGAUUUCAGUUGUGAUCCUGUGACCAAUAAUUGGAUCAAGUCUCUGGCGGCACUUCUAUCGUCGGCGUCGACAGAAACUGGCACCGCACUCGGGCACAUAACCUUGGAUGUCUCGGCGCUGACGCGUACAGUCGCUGCGGCGUCGGGAAGCGUGGGCAUCGCCGUAUCGGCCUACCGCGGGCUGGGGCAAAUGUCGUGUUUGCUCGACGGCUGAAGAGACUUUCACCGUGCUUUGUUGGAGGAAGUUGGGUGUGACUAUUACAGAUAUUCGCCAGGCUUAGGCAGGCUCCUGCUGCUCAGAGCCGGUAUGGACGUCCAAUUGAAUGUGGACGUCCAGCCGGCAGCCCCGCUCGUGGCGGUAUGCACGCCUGCGCCUGACGUCCACACAGACUCUGCCGGCUGUGCGGCGAUGGCGGCCGUGCCUGAGCCGGCCGACGCGCC
Molecule: long non-coding RNA, 514 nt
Filed under: Pollicipes pollicipes
Lineage: Eukaryota; Metazoa; Arthropoda; Thecostraca; Pollicipedomorpha; Pollicipedidae
Description: uncharacterized LOC119114284
Source: RNAcentral